Molecule: transfer RNA, 72 nt
Filed under: Camelus bactrianus (Bactrian camel)
Lineage: Eukaryota; Metazoa; Chordata; Mammalia; Artiodactyla; Camelidae
Also listed under: 2 other names
Rfam family: tRNA
About the family: Transfer RNA (tRNA) molecules are approximately 80 nucleotides in length. Their secondary structure includes four short double-helical elements and three loops (D, anti-codon, and T loops). Further hydrogen bonds mediate the characteristic L-shaped molecular structure. tRNAs have two regions of fundamental functional importance: the anti-codon, which is responsible for specific mRNA codon recognition, and the 3' end, to which the tRNAs corresponding amino acid is attached (by aminoacyl-tRNA synthetases). tRNAs cope with the degeneracy of the genetic code in two manners: having more than one tRNA (with a specific anti-codon) for a particular amino acid; and 'wobble' base-pairing, i.e. permitting non-standard base-pairing at the 3rd anti-codon position.
Source: Rfam by way of RNAcentral
GGUAAUAAAGCUCAGUGGUAGAGCGCAUGCUUAGCAUCUGUGGGAUCCUGGGUUCAAUCCUCAGUACCUCCA